This 327-nucleotide ribosomal RNA is filed under the name uncultured Sedimentibacter sp. RNAcentral's name for it is "bacterial SSU rRNA". It matches the Rfam family "Bacterial small subunit ribosomal RNA", at positions 568 to 898 of the family's 1533-position model. The record is from RNAcentral. Lineage: Bacteria; Bacillati; Bacillota; Tissierellia.
UGAGUAGGCGGUUAUAUGUGUCAGAUGUAAAAGGCUAUGGCUUAACCAUAGUUGGCAUUUGAAACUGUAUGACUUGAGUGCAGGAGAGGUAAGUGGAAUUCCUAGUGUAGCGGUGAAAUGCGUAGAUAUUAGGAGGAACACCAGUGGCGAAGGCGACUUACUGGACUGUAACUGACGCUGAGUCACGAAAGCGUGGGUAGCAAACAGGAUUAGAUACCCUGGUAGUCCACGCUGUAAACGAUGAGUGCUAGGUGUUGGGUAGCGAUAUUCAGUGCCGAAGUUAACACAAUAAGCACUCCGCCUGGGGAGUACGGUCGCAAGACUGAA